Molecule: long non-coding RNA, 629 nt
Filed under: Rattus norvegicus (Norway rat)
Lineage: Eukaryota; Metazoa; Chordata; Mammalia; Rodentia; Muridae
Description: long non-coding RNA NONRATT004167
Source: RNAcentral
AGGUUGAAUCUGUCAAGACCAUAUCCAGCAGUUAGGCAUGAUCCUCCUGGUUGAGGGAUGGGGCCACUCACCCAUCUCCAAAAUUUUAACCCAGAAUUUCUCCUGUCUAAAGGAAAUACAGGGACAAAGAGUGAAGCAAAGACUGAAGGAAAGGCCAUCCAUAGACUACCCCACCUGGGGAUCCAUCCCACAUGCAGACACCAAACCCAGACACCUACUGAUGCCAAGAAAUGUUUGCUGACAGAAGCCUAUAAUAGCUGUCUCCUGAGAAACUGCCAGAUCCUGACCAAUAUCGAUGAGGAUGCUCAAAGCCAACCGUCAGACUGAUCACAGGGACCCCAAAGGAGGAGUUAGGGGAAGGACUGAAGGCGCUUAAGCGGCCUUAUCUAGUAUCAUUGGGAGGGGAGGCCAAUGGUUCUCUGAAGACUUGAUGCCCUAGUAUAGAAAAUGCUGGGGCAGUUAGGCAGGAGUGGGUGAAUGGGUUGGGGAGCACCCUCACAGAAGCAGGGUAAGGAGGGAUGGGAGAGGGGGUUGGCAGAAGGGAAACCCAGAAAAGGGAUUAUAUUUGAAAUGUAAAUAAAUAAACUAUCCAAUAAAAAACAAAAUAAAUCAAAACAAAUAAACAAAAA